Small nuclear RNA from Otolemur garnettii (small-eared galago), 107 nucleotides. Lineage: Eukaryota; Metazoa; Chordata; Mammalia; Primates; Galagidae. The record is from Ensembl.
GUGCUUGCUUCAGCAGCACAUAUACUAAAAUUGGAAUGAUAUAGAGAAGAUUAGUAUGGCCCCUAUGCAAGGAUAACACGCAAAUUCACGAAAUGUUCCAUAUUUUU